UUUGUAGUCUUGUUUCUUAAUAACAUUCUUUUGGUUCGCGCUUCGUUCCGAUGUGCAUUUCCAAUAUCUCUCAUCGUUUGCGCGAUAAUGGAUGCCAGUUUUUCCUAUUCAGAUUGUGAUGUUACUUUCUUUCAAUCUGAGUUCAAAAAGAUAGUUUGUCAACGUAGUCUAAGAAUCAAGGAAAUACACAAAAUGUAUGAUUAAUGAUGGUGUAGUGUGUUUUUUUAUUUCCGCAUUAUAUUUUAAAGUUCUUUCUUACGAAAUUUGAUUAUUUGACUAAUUAGUUGAUUAGCUUCACUUGUAUUUUACAUCUCUAACGUCGCCAAAAUUGUAGUUAAUUAGUACUUAGAUGUUGAAAAUUAGAAAUAUAAUUUUUAUAUCGUAUUAAAAUUUCUUUGUAAACUUUUUCUUUUUUUUACAGUUUUUAGCAAUGAAAUUUCUAGAGAAAUUUCAAUUAAAUCUAACAAACUGUUGGAUGUUUAUAUGCUUUUGGAUUAUUCGAUAGUUAUUUGAAUAUAUCAAGCGAUCAUUUAUUACAUGCCAUCACCAUCAAUUAUAUUCUCGAUCUAUGAUUGCUAAUUCUUAUGAUGGAAAAUCGUUUGUCAAUCGGUCAAUCUGGGGCAAAUAACAAGCAACAUCGUGGGGUAGCACUCGGUGGUGAAGAUGUCUAUCGAGCAUGCGCAAACUAUAGGAUCGAUAGCUUGCACAGAAAAUAAAUGAUGGUGAUAGUAGCGGCGAAAUCUUCAGAGCUGACAAUAAGUGAGAAAGAAAAUGAUAUAUGUUUAU
Long non-coding RNA from Pseudomyrmex gracilis, 786 nucleotides. RefSeq lists it as uncharacterized. The record is from RefSeq and is a predicted model, not a curated record. NCBI's taxonomy places the organism in Eukaryota, Metazoa, Arthropoda, Insecta, Hymenoptera, Formicidae. The transcript has 2 exons.